This 202-nucleotide unclassified non-coding RNA is filed under the name rhizosphere metagenome. RNAcentral's name for it is "partial ribosomal RNA internal transcribed spacer region". The record is from RNAcentral.
GUAGGUGAACCUGCGGAAGGAUCAUUCAUAAUAAGUGUUUUAUGGCACUUUUUAAAUCCAUAUCCACCUUGUGUGAACUGUCAGUCGAUCUUCUUUAUGGAGAUCGGCCAAAAAUCAACCUAAUUUUUUAACUCUUUGUCUGAAGAAUAUUAUGAAUAAAUAAUUCAAAAUACAACUUUCAACAAUGGAUCUCUUGGCUCUC